Molecule: small RNA, 35 nt
Filed under: Plasmodium falciparum 3D7
Lineage: Eukaryota; Apicomplexa; Aconoidasida; Haemosporida; Plasmodiidae
Description: Pfa-npcR6398
Source: RNAcentral
CAUUAAAUGCAUUGAGUCAUAAAAGCGGAACAAAA